This 253-nucleotide ribosomal RNA is filed under the name uncultured bacterium. RNAcentral describes it as "partial 16S ribosomal RNA". It matches the Rfam family "Bacterial small subunit ribosomal RNA", at positions 524 to 776 of the family's 1533-position model. The record is from RNAcentral.
CACGUAGGGGACGAGCGUUGUCCGGAUUCAUUGGGCGUAAAGCGCGCGUAGGCGGCUCGGAAAGUCGGGCGUGAAAUGCCGGGGCUCAACCCCGGGACUGCGUCCGAUACUGCCAUGCUUGAGGGUUGGAGAGGUAGCUGGAAUUAUCGGUGUAGCAGUGAAAUGCGUGGAUAUCGAUAGGAACACUCGUGGCGAAGGCGAGCUACUGGACAACAUCUGACGCUGAGGCUCGAAGGCUAGGGGAGCAAAAGGG